ACACAAGACUGUGAAUGUACUCGCCUGAACCCUAUCUACGACGAUUCAGGAUUGGCCUUUCGUCUUCAUCCGCGACGGUUGGAAUCACCCUUCUGAGCUGCCUCGUUACACUGUUCAAUCUCUGAUUUUUAGCGCUCCUCUAAUUUUUGUGAGAAAUUGGAAUAGGCGCGUUUGAUAACUUAGUCUCUCCAAUUCAUUCAAUUUUCUCUCUAUCAUAGAAUCUUCUCUCUCACACAUAUUCACCCAUUCUCUCUCGUAGAAGUAGCUUCAUUGCAUCCACCCAGUUUCUAUAACUUGCAUCGCAUUUAACAUCUCAAUUCUGAACACUUCAGAGAGAGCAAUUCAAGUGCAGAAAGGUCUAGAGAGUUGUCAUUGUGAUGUCAAGCUAGAUGGCAAAGGCAACCCCAAAGAAUUUGAUGAGGAUGAUGGGAAUUCCUGGACUCACUCUGUAUAAAUUCAAGAGUCAUUUGUAGAAGAAUGGACUUGGAAAAAACCAACUCGUAGAAACUUUUUCUGGUGAAAAACAAGGUGAGUCAGUAACAAAAUGAUUGAUAGUUUUAUGAUUUUGAUUAAUCUUUAAAUUCUUCAUUCAUGGGUGCAUAUUACAUAGAGAUUCAAAGCAAUGGCAGUCAUUGCAGUAGAGAAAUCAGUGUCGUUAAUCAAUGGUUUUGUUUAUGCAGCUUGGUUGGAAAUUAGUAUGCACAUCAUAUUAUUUUGCAGACGGCGUUGCAUUAGGUGGGGUUCAGCCAUGACUGAUUUAGGGGCAGCAUGAUGGGUUAAAGUAUAUGUGUAUCAAUGAUGUGAAUAGAGAGAUAAAAUUAUAGUUUAUGUGACUAUUUUUUUGGUUCAUGUCUAAACUUGAGAGAUAAAGUUUUUUUUCUAAAAGUGAUAUUAUUUUUGGUCUAUGGACAUAACUUUCAAACAUUAGCCUAUUUUUUAUGUCAUUCAUUGCAUGUGAGUGGUGAUAUUUAGAUGUGCUGGUGCAAUCUAUUUCAUGUUGUGGGAUUGUCAAAGUAUAGUUAUUUAAUUUAGGCUCAUUUUAUAGGUUUUUCAUAAUUUAUUUUAUGAAUUGAAUUGAAAUUUGUGACUACUUUGACAUGUAAGGAGUGAUUUAGAGAGAGUUAAAGUGUAAAUGAAACUUUGGUUUGUUUUUGUUGAAUUAUUAGUCAUACUACAAUAGUGAAAGCUUGCUGAUGGAGAUGUCAGAAUAUGGCAGGUGGCCUAAGCAGUGUUUUUUGUUGGCAUCUAGUGCUUUUUUUGAGUUUCAUUUAGCUAUUUAUUUAUUUUUGCAAUUAUAUUGUUAUGAAAUUCUAAGGCACUGGUGUUUGACAAUGAGUCCAUCUAUAAAAAGGGACAUUAUUUUUCCCCAUUAUAUAGUCUUCGUCAAUUUUUUUGCUAACAAUAAGUAUCCAUUUCAUGAAGGAAUACAUUACCACUUUGUCCUUUAUGGUUUGAUUAAAUUUCUAAGGAUGAGGUUUGUUCUUCUUUCCACUUUUAAAUAUGUCUUUCCUGUUUGAUUAUGUUCUGAUAUACGAUUUUAUAACAAUAUAUGUUUCAUUCAGUUUUGACAACCACUUCUUUUCUCAUCCGAGUUAAUUUGAUGCUUUAACCAUGGGUCUGAUUCUCAAAUUAAGCCAGGAAUACAGUCCACUUAAAGGGGGUGCUCAUGCAUGUUUUACUUUGUUGGAGAAACACAUGGCUGCCACUAUUUCAGGGAUUACGAUGUUGCGCUGGAUUUGGAAUUGCACUCAAUCGAUAAGUUCUUGAUCCAAUGUCUUGCCUUUUAUCAGGUUACUUUUGAUAUUGAUUUUUAUGUAACUGAAACUUUUGGAGAUGGUUUGUAUCAAGCAUGUAAGGACAUAAAAUUUGGGACAAUGAAUACAAGGACUAUAGACUUUGUUGGGGCUGGAGCUAGCAAUUAUGAAGGCGAUCCAUUAUAACAUGGUUGGAUUUAUUACAUAAAUUGCAUAAGCUCUGUUAAACAAGUGAUUCAGUUAACUGUGUAAUUGUGUUGUUUUUCACUAAUAGACAAGUAGAUUAUAUCUACUCUCAUUUUGUUAGUAUUAUUGACAACUAACUUGAUGUGCUUGACUUAAUGUAGGAGUAUGAACAUUUGUGAAAAGCAUUUUAAAAUGUGUUUAUAAGUUGAAAAUAUAUAAGCACAUUGAUCCAUGAUGCAUCUAUUUCAUUGUAAAUU
Vicia villosa (hairy vetch) is the source of this 2197-nucleotide long non-coding RNA. RefSeq lists it as uncharacterized. The record is from RefSeq and is a predicted model, not a curated record. The transcript is spliced from 6 exons. Lineage: Eukaryota; Viridiplantae; Streptophyta; Magnoliopsida; Fabales; Fabaceae.